RNAcentral lists this ribosomal RNA (779 nucleotides) under uncultured bacterium. Its description in RNAcentral is "bacterial SSU rRNA". It matches the Rfam family "Bacterial small subunit ribosomal RNA", at positions 28 to 807 of the family's 1533-position model. The record is from RNAcentral.
GAUGAACGCUGGCGGCGUGCCUAACACAUGCAAGUCGAGCGAAGCACUUUGCUUAUAUUCUUCGGAUGAAGAGGAUUGUGACUGAGCGGCGGACGGGUGAGUAACGCGUGGGUAACCUGCCUCAUACGGGGGGACAACAGUUAGAAAUGACUGCUAAUACCGCAUAAGACCACAGCACCGCAUGGUGCGGGGGUAAAAACUCCGGUGGUAUGAGAUGGACCCGCGUCUGAUUAGCUAGUUGGUAAGGUAACGGCUUACCAAGGCGACGAUCAGUAGCCGACCUGAGAGGGUGACCGGCCACAUUGGGACUGAGACACGGCCCAAACUCCUACGGGAGGCAGCAGUGGGGAAUAUUGCACAAUGGGGGAAACCCUGAUGCAGCGACGCCGCGUGAGCGAAGAAGUAUUUCGGUAUGUAAAGCUCUAUCAGCAGGGAAGAAAAUGACGGUACCUGACUAAGAAGCACCGGCUAAAUACGUGCCAGCAGCCGCGGUAAUACGUAUGGUGCAAGCGUUAUCCGGAUUUACUGGGUGUAAAGGGAGCGUAGACGGAUGGGCAGGUCUGAUGUGAAAACCCGGGGCUCAACCCCGGGACUGCAUUGGAAACUGUUUAUCUAGAGUGCUGGAGAGGUAAGUGGAAUUCCUAGUGUAGCGGUGAAAUGCGUAGAUAUUAGGAGGAACACCAGUGGCGAAGGCGGCUUACUGGACAGUAACUGACGUUGAGGCUCGAAAGCGUGGGGAGCAAACAGGGUUAGAUACCCUGGUAGUCCACGCCGUAAAC